AAUGAACGUUGGCGGCAUGGAUUAGGCAUGCAAGUCGAGCGAGAACCGUAGCAAUACGGGGACAGCGGCGAAAGGGAGAGUAAUGCGUGGAUAUCUACCUCCGGGCCUGGGAUAGCCGCGGGGAAACUGCGGGUAAUACCAGAUAAUGUCUCCGGACCAAAGGUGUGAUUCCUCCGGGAGAUGAGUCCACGUCCUAUUAGCUAGUUGGUAGGGUAAUGGCCUACCAAGGCAAUGAUGGGUAGCAGGUGUGAGAGCACGACCUGCCUCAUUGGGACUGAGAUACUGCCCAGACACCUACGGGUGGCUGCAGUGGGGAAUUUUGGACAAUGGGGCAACCCUGAUCCAGCCAUGCCGCGUGCGGGAAGAA
Molecule: ribosomal RNA, 367 nt
Filed under: uncultured bacterium
Lineage: Bacteria
Description: bacterial SSU rRNA
Rfam family: Bacterial small subunit ribosomal RNA
Source: RNAcentral